Oncorhynchus tshawytscha (Chinook salmon) is the source of this 2454-nucleotide long non-coding RNA. RefSeq lists it as uncharacterized. Lineage: Eukaryota; Metazoa; Chordata; Actinopteri; Salmoniformes; Salmonidae. The record is from RefSeq and is a predicted model, not a curated record. The transcript is spliced from 7 exons.
CUCUGGGAAGCGGUGCUCAUGACAACCAACAUAAACAAGUUUCAGUAGCUAUAUUUAUCCGUUGGUUUCACAAAACGGGGUGCCAAACCCAAGGAAAGCUGCUGCCAUUGCUUUCUGUGGGGACCAGUACUAUGAAAUAAUUGGAUCUAUUUAACAAAGCAUGGACGAAAGGUUCGAUGCUUGAAUAGAAUCUCCAGAUUCAUGGCAGCGAGGCAGAAUAAAGGUAUUGACGAGGGAGAGGUAUUACAUGGCCAUCCUCUGGGUGUUUCCCCCUUUCCACAUGCCAGGGGUUUAUACCAACCAUCUGUAAUUUUCAUGGGUCGGCAGACUUCCAGAGAGUCCAGGGCUGAAGAUGCCACCAUAAGUGUACACUUACAAGAAGCCGAGCAUCAUUCGCCCCAAUCAUCGCUCACGUGCCUCGGAAUACCGGCAAAGUGGCCUUUUUGAAGGACUCCAAAGUUUCCAGAGAGGUUGUUGCCGACAGCGGAGCGCAUUUAUCAGAUGACAUUUCGGGCUCAAACGAUUCCCCCGACGGCUGUAAUUUGAGUGACAAACAUGAAAGGAUGGCAGCAGUGGUUCCAUCCAGCUUAACAGCCAGCGCCAGUGUGCCUUUUGGAUGUGAUUAACAAUCUCCUACACCUCGAGUGACCUUGACGAGGCCUGAGAAGAAUAGCCUAUCAUCCCAGCAGUAUCAGCCAUAUGUCUGACAGGAAUUCACCUGCAGAAUACACUCAGUAGAGGGUCUGCCCACCAGGAUAGCAUAAAAAAAGAAGUUGGAGAGAGUCUUGCAAAGAUCACCAACUCAAACUGACUUGGGAAAAUAAUCUCAAGAUGUGCCAGAGAGGAGUGAAGACCUCAGUAUAUCCAGUUCCAGUGGAGCUGUCAGUGAUCAGGAGUGGCAGUGACCUGUCAAUCUCCCUGACCGAGUCUGACCUGGCUGAGGUACCAACGGUGCCACAUAAUGUCGUCUAUGUAGACGGCCAUAGCAGGAGGACAGACACCCAGGGACAGGGAUCUCCACAGCAUCAGCAUACCCAAUCAAGAAUCACUUGACACUCCAGAGCCUAGGAACGGAUCUGAACCAAAUAGAGAAUCCAUGUCUUAAGGAAUACCAUUGGAGAGCUCCUGUCUCCCACCUGACGCUGCUCCUCUGGGAUCACUGGUUCAAGCACACCCUUCUGCUGAAGGACCACCAUGUCCUCACCACCGAGCGCCUCGUCCAGCUGUUCACUCCACUGCUACUGCCGCACAAUGCCUCCUAUAGCACCAAGGACUACAAAGUGGUGAAGAGGACAGCCAGGACGAGAGCCCCGUGGAAAGUAUUCCUAUUGGAGGAGAGAAAAGACAAAACUGAAAACCUACUCUGCAGUACAGUCUAAAGGUGAGUUAGGAAUGCAGACACAUCCGUCCUAAAUAAUGCUGUCUCUAUUUCUGUUUCUCAUCCUGAAGUAAGCUAGUUGAUAGCAAUAUUAUGAACCACUUGAGAUGUUAUGCUAAUGACAGAAUCAUCCAUCUAUGCGUGGUUCACAAAUGGGUGUGAAAAGGGCACAUGGACAAUUAUUCAAUAUCUUGCUCUCUGUUAUAGCAAUGCUACAUCUGUAAUUAGUAUAGAUUUCACAAUGAUCAUAUCAGUUCUUGUUUGGAUUUGAAUACCCCCAUCUCUGCUUUUAUGAAUGUCAUGAUUCAGUAUCAUGCCUCAAAUGUUGGUUCUGUGUUAUUUAUAUUUUUGGGGAGAUUCAGACGAUAGCAACUCCAAGAUAGAAGCUGCCUUACGUCCUCAGCCCUACAAUACGAACAAUGACAACUCUGAGGAUUAUUAUGACUGACUACCUGAGUAAAGGGAUUAUUAUUAUGACUAUUAUUUUAACCCCCUUUUCUCCCUAAUUUCGAUCUUGUUUCAUCGCUGCAACUCCAAUGGGCUCGGGAGGGAAGGUCGAGUCAUGCGUCCUCCGACACAUGACUCGCCAAUCUGCGGUGCUUAACACUCGCCCGCCUGCCAGCCACACCAAUGUGUCGGAAGAAACACUGUUCAACUGACGACCGAGGUCAGCCUGCAGGCGCCCGCCACAAGGAGUCGCUAAAGCACGUAGAGCCAAAUAAAGCCCCACCCGCCAAAUCCAUCCCUAACCCAGACGACGCUGGACCAAUUAUGCGCCACCCUAUUGGACUCCCGAUCACGGCCGCUUAUGAUACAGCCCGGGAUUGAACCUGGGUCUGUAGUGACACCUCUAGCACUGCGAUGCAGUGCCUUAGACCGCUGCGCCACUCGGGAGGCUAGAGAAAAGGGAUUCUUAACAGAAGCUGCUGAGAAAGCUUUAGAGAAUGUCACCAUACUGUUUAAUUUUUUUCUUCCAUCCAUUACCCUUAUCUGGCUAGAUCAUUUUAACAUUGUAAAAUGUAUGCAUACUGUAUCGUACAAGAAUAAUAAUAAUAAACCUGAUGCCUCUUACUGUG